RNAcentral lists this ribosomal RNA (253 nucleotides) under uncultured bacterium. RNAcentral describes it as "partial 16S ribosomal RNA". It matches the Rfam family "Bacterial small subunit ribosomal RNA", at positions 524 to 776 of the family's 1533-position model. The record is from RNAcentral.
UACAGAGGUCUCAAGCGUUGUUCGGAUUCAUUGGGCGUAAAGGGCGCGUAGGCGGUUGGAUAAGUCAGCUGUGAAAACCACGGGCUUAACUCGUGGCCUGCAGUUGAGACUGUCUGGCUUGAGUGUGGGAGAGGAGAGUGGAAUUCCUGGUGUAGCGGUGAAAUGCGUAGAUAUCAGGAGGAACACCGGUGGCGAAGGCGGCUCUCUGGACCACAACUGACGCUGAGGCGCGAAAGCUAGGGGAGCAAACAGG